GAGACGGAUUGGUGCCUUCGGGAACGUCUGACACAGGUGCUGCAUGGCUGUCGUCAGCUCGUGUCGUGAGAUGUUGGGUUAAGUCCCAUAACGAGCGCAACCCCUACCUUUAGUUGCCAUCAGGUUAAGCUGGGGACUCUAAGGAACUGCCUACGCAAGUAGUGAGGAAGGCGGGGAUGACGUCAAAUCAGCACGGCCCUUACGUCCAGGGCUACACACGUGCUACAAUGGCCGAUACAGAGGGCAGCUACCUGGUGACAGGAUGCAAAUCUCCAAAGUCGGUCUCAGUUCGGAUCGGAGUCUGCAACCCGACUCCGUGAAGUUGGAUUCGCUAGUAAUCGCGCAUCAGCCAUGGCGCGGUGAAUACGUUCCCGGGCCUU
RNAcentral lists this ribosomal RNA (380 nucleotides) under uncultured Sphingobacteriales bacterium. Its description in RNAcentral is "bacterial SSU rRNA". It matches the Rfam family "Bacterial small subunit ribosomal RNA", at positions 1003 to 1382 of the family's 1533-position model. Lineage: Bacteria; Pseudomonadati; Bacteroidota; Sphingobacteriia; Sphingobacteriales. The record is from RNAcentral.